GAUCCUGGCUCAGAUUGAACGCUGGCGGCAUGCCUUACACAUGCAAGUCGAACGGCAGCGCGGGAGCUUGCUCCUGGCGGCGAGUGGCGAACGGGUGAGUAAUACAUCGGAACGUGUCCGUUUGUGGGGGACAACCAGCCGAAAGGUUGGCUAAUACCGCAUAAGACCUGAGGGUGAAAGCCGGGGACCGCAAGGCCUGGCGCAGACGGAGCGGCCGAUGAUUGAUUAGCUUGUUGGCGGGGUAAAGG
This 248-nucleotide ribosomal RNA is filed under the name uncultured bacterium. RNAcentral describes it as "partial 16S ribosomal RNA". It matches the Rfam family "Bacterial small subunit ribosomal RNA", at positions 15 to 263 of the family's 1533-position model. The record is from RNAcentral.